Molecule: ribosomal RNA, 429 nt
Filed under: Bacteroidota bacterium
Lineage: Bacteria; Pseudomonadati; Bacteroidota
Description: Bacteroidetes bacterium partial 16S ribosomal RNA
Rfam family: Bacterial small subunit ribosomal RNA
Source: RNAcentral
UAGGGAAUCUUCCGCAAUGGACGCAAGUCUGACGGAGCAACGCCGCGUGAGUGAAGAAGGAUUUCGGUUCGUAAAACUCUGUUGUUAGAGAAGAACAGCGCAUAGAGUAACUGUUAUGCGUGUGACGGUAUCUAACCAGAAAGCCACGGCUAACUACGUGCCAGCAGCCGCGGUAAUACGUAGGUGGCAAGCGUUGUCCGGAUUUAUUGGGCGUAAAGCGAGCGCAGGCGGUCAAUUAAGUCUGAUGUGAAAGCCCCCGGCUCAACCGGGGAGGGUCAUUGGAAACUGGUUGGCUUGAGUGCAGAAGAGGAGAGUGGAAUUCCAAGUGUAGCGGUGAAAUGCGUAGAUAUAUGGAGGAACACCAGUGGCGAAGGCGACUCUCUGGUCUGUAACUGACGCUGAGGCUCGAAAGCGUGGGUAGCAAACAGG